RNAcentral lists this ribosomal RNA (425 nucleotides) under uncultured bacterium. RNAcentral describes it as "partial 16S ribosomal RNA". It matches the Rfam family "Bacterial small subunit ribosomal RNA", at positions 354 to 796 of the family's 1533-position model. The record is from RNAcentral.
GUGGGGAAUAUUGGGCAAUGGGCGAAAGCCUGACCCAGCAACGCCGCGUGAAGGAAGAAGGUUUUCGGAUCGUAAACUUCUAUCCUAGGUGAAGAUAAUGACGGUAGCCUAGAAGGAAGCCCCGGCUAACUACGUGCCAGCAGCCGCGGUAAUACGUAGGGGGCAAGCGUUGUCCGGAAUGAUUGGGCGUAAAGGGCGCGUAGGCGGCCAUGUAAGUCCGAUGUGAAAGUCCUGCUUUUAAGGUGGGAAUUGCAUUGGAAACUGUGUGGCUUGAGUGCAGGAGAGGUAAGUGGAAUUCCCGGUGUAGCGGUGAAAUGCGUAGAGAUCGGGAGGAACACCAGUGGCGAAGGCGACUUACUGGACUGUAACUGACGCUGAGGCGCGAAAGUGUGGGGAGCAAACAGGAUUAGAAACCCCAGUAGUCC